GCCUGGGUGGCUCAGCUGGUUGAGCGUCCGACUUCGGCUCAGGUCAUCAUCUCUCAGUUUGUGGGUUCGAGCCCCGCAUCGGGCU
Molecule: transfer RNA, 85 nt
Organism: Felis catus (domestic cat)
Lineage: Eukaryota; Metazoa; Chordata; Mammalia; Carnivora; Felidae
Rfam family: tRNA
About the family: Transfer RNA (tRNA) molecules are approximately 80 nucleotides in length. Their secondary structure includes four short double-helical elements and three loops (D, anti-codon, and T loops).
Source: Rfam